CUCUCGGCAACACUGAACUCCAAGCAAAAAACAUUCUACAUGUCGACUGUGAACGGGUUUGCGUGGAUAUGAAACUUGAUUGUUUCAUAUCAUUACAGUUCAUGUGGGGCGAAUUUUGCAGUGAAAACUACAACUUGGACCCAGCAGUAAACAAGGCGCGCGUUGGUUCGUCAGGCAAAAGAACAAAAUGGUCGUGCUACAGGUAAUUGUCGACAAAUCCGGCGAGCAGAGGAUCGAAUUAGUGAUGGCGGUGGAGAAAUUUCCCCUUGUGCAUCCAUCAGGUUGUGGUAAGGAGAAAAGUUACCACACAGGUGUCGGACGCAAACGAUUUGCUGAGCUCCGAAGAGCGGGAAAUUGGCCACGGCUAAUAUCUGACCAAAUGCGACUCGUAUCAAUCCCACGGUUAUGAACCUGCAUGAAGAGGGUCCACAAUGGUUCCAGCUCAGAUGCAUGCUGUUCUACAUCGGUUAUGGUUCGCUGCAGGAUCCUUCAAAUUGUCCAAAAAUUGUAACGAAAAUGUUUUGUUUUGAACAAAAAUUGGACCUAAUAAGAAAUGUAUUAUUCAUAGCUUUUAAGAAAGCGUUCAAUAAAGUUUUAUAAAAUAUUUGUGAA
Uranotaenia lowii is the source of this 612-nucleotide long non-coding RNA. RefSeq lists it as uncharacterized. The transcript is spliced from 3 exons. Lineage: Eukaryota; Metazoa; Arthropoda; Insecta; Diptera; Culicidae. The record is from RefSeq and is a predicted model, not a curated record.